AUUGAACGCUGGCGGCAUGCCUAACACAUGCAAGUCGAACGGAGGGCUUCGGCCCUCAGUGGCGGACGGGUGAGUAACGCGUAGGGAUCUGCCCCGCAGUGGGGGACAACCUGGGGAAACUCAGGCUAAUACCGCAUACGCUCCAUGGAGGAAAGCGGGGGGACCUUCGGGCCUCGCGCUGCGGGAUGAACCUACGUCCGAUUAGCUAGUUGGUGGGGUAAGGGCCCACCAAGGCGACGAUCGGUAGCUGGUCUGAGAGGAUGAUCCGCCACACUGGAACUGAGACACGGUCCAGACUCCUACGGGAGGCAGCAGUGGGGGAAUUUUGGACAAUGGGGGGCAACCCUGAUCCAGCCAUGCCGCGUGAGUGAAGAAGGCCU
This 380-nucleotide ribosomal RNA is filed under the name uncultured bacterium. RNAcentral describes it as "bacterial SSU rRNA". It matches the Rfam family "Bacterial small subunit ribosomal RNA", at positions 28 to 417 of the family's 1533-position model. The record is from RNAcentral.